UACGAAGGGUGCAAGCGUUACUCGGAAUUACUGGGCGUAAAGCGUGCGUAGGUGGUUGUUUAAGUCUGUUGUGAAAGCCCUGGGCUCAACCUGGGAAUUGCAGUGGAUACUGGGCGACUAGAGUGUGGUAGAGGGUAGUGGAAUUCCCGGUGUAGCAGUGAAAUGCGUAGAGAUCGGGAGGAACAUCCAUGGCGAAGGCAGCUACCUGGACCAACACUGACACUGAGGCACGAAAGCGUGGGAGCAAACAGGG
This 253-nucleotide ribosomal RNA is filed under the name uncultured bacterium. RNAcentral describes it as "partial 16S ribosomal RNA". It matches the Rfam family "Bacterial small subunit ribosomal RNA", at positions 524 to 777 of the family's 1533-position model. The record is from RNAcentral.